CUAUAAUUGAUAGUCCACGAGUUUAAUUACUUAUUUUAUAUUAGUUUGCAUAUCGUCGUAGCUUGGAUAUUUUUAUAGAAAAUAAAUAUUCAUAAUUUUAAAAUAGAUAAUAAAUCAGAUCAAGAUGUAGCUUAUAAAUAAGAAGAGAUGGGUUACAUUAAAUAUAUUUAUAAUGGAUUAAUAAUUGAAAUUUAUUAUGAAGGUGGAUUUGGCAGUAAUAUUAUUUAUACUAAUAGUAUGACCGUAGCUCUAAAAUAUGUACAUAUCGCCCGUCACUUUCAUUACAAAGUGAAAUAAGUCGUAACAAAGUAGAUGUACUGGAAAGUGUAUCUGGAAAACAAAUUAAAGCUUUAGAAAGCAUUUUAGUUACAUUAAAAAGUUUAUUGUAGAUCCAAUAUAAUUUGAAUAGAAUAUAUUAUUAAAUUUAAAAUAUUUUAAAUUUAAAUAAAAUAAGAAUAUUUAUAUUUUAUUAAUAUUUAUGAAAAAAUAUAUUUAAUUAUAGUUAAAUAGUAUUGUGAAAGAUUUAUAUAAAAUUAUUAUAAGAAAAAUUAAUUUUUUGUACCUUGUGUAUCAGGGUUUAUCUAAAAUAAAUUUAAUUAUUAAAUUAUCUCGAAUUAAUAAGAGUUAUUAUUAUAUUUUUAUUUUGUGGCAUAAAAAUUAUUAAUAUAAUAAUAGAGGUGAAACGCUAUUCGAUUAUUAAUAUAUCUAGUUUUUUAAGAAAAAAAUUUAAUUUUAUUAUUAAUUAAUAUUUAAUUUAUUGUAUAAUUAUAUAUUAUUAAUAUUUUAUAUUAUAAGGGAUAAGCUUUAUAAUAAAAUUUUUUAAAAUAUUAUUUUAUAUUAUUUAAGUAGAAAUGUAAGUUUUUAUCUUUAAAAUUGUGUUGUAACUAUUUUGAUUUUAAAUAUACUUUAUAUUAUUUUAAAAUUUUUUAUUAAAAUUUAAAUUUUAAUAAUAAAAAUUUAGGAAUAGUGAUAUAAUUAGUAUAAAAUUAUGUAUUUAAAUAUUUAAUUUAAAGGUUAAGCAAAGGAACUCGGCAAAUUAUUUUUCACCUGUUUAUUAAAAACAUGGCUUUUUGAUUAUAAUUUAAAGUCGGGCCUGCCCUAUGAAUUUUAAAUGGCCGCGGUAUCUUGACCGUGCAAAGGUAGCAUAAUCAUUAGUUUUUUAAUUGAAAGCUGGAAUGAAAGGUUUGAUGAAAAAAUGACUGUCUCUGUUUAAAUUAAUUAAAAAUUUAUUUUUAAGUAAAAAAGCUUAAAUUUUAUUAGAAGACGAGAAGACCCUAUAGAGUUUUAUUAUUUUUUAAUAUAAGAUUUUAAGAAUUACU
Molecule: ribosomal RNA, 1319 nt
Filed under: Pelororhinus variegatus
Lineage: Eukaryota; Metazoa; Arthropoda; Insecta; Coleoptera; Curculionidae
Description: partial 16S ribosomal RNA
Source: RNAcentral